Molecule: non-coding RNA, 45 nt
Filed under: Schistosoma margrebowiei
Lineage: Eukaryota; Metazoa; Platyhelminthes; Trematoda; Strigeidida; Schistosomatidae
Source: RNAcentral
AUCCAGCUGACGAGUCCCAAAUAGGACGAAACGCUCGUCCUGAAU